Long non-coding RNA from Hemicordylus capensis (graceful crag lizard), 876 nucleotides. RefSeq lists it as uncharacterized. The transcript has 6 exons. The record is from RefSeq and is a predicted model, not a curated record. NCBI's taxonomy places the organism in Eukaryota, Metazoa, Chordata, Lepidosauria, Squamata, Cordylidae.
GGCGAUGCUGCUCCUCCGGGCGGGUCGCGGAGGAGGCGACGCCGCGGACUCCGGCAGCUGCCCUCCUCCCGCGGGGGCGCCGCCCGGCACUCGGGCAAGAAGAGGCCGGCUGAGGCGGCGGCUGCGCUCCCCGCCACUCGAUCAGAUUCCCUACAGAGAAUAAAUCUCCUGGUUUUGCUCGUCGUGACUUGAGUUCCAGUCAGAUUUCAGGCUGGGCCCACAGAGGUUUGCACUCAACUUGUGUGGAAUUUAUGAAUCCUUCCAGGCAAAAUGGGUCGUUUCCUCUGUCUAGCAGAUGAGUUUUAAUAUGACACCAAGAUCAAGCUUCUGGUUUCUAACAAGAUAAUCCAGGACAUCUGCAUAUCCCAACUGCACACACUGGAGGGCUCUGAAAAGGGAAAGAAAAGGGAGAAGCAAAGAUGCUGAUGCUGCUCAAAGAAGACUACAAAAAAACUUACAAAGCCUCCCGCUACCAAGGCACACUUUGUCCACCUCCGUCUUUUCUUUUCUGGUGCCAUCGCUAAGUGUUUUAUGAAUAAUCAUCAGCUCGGAAACUUUUAAAAACCCCUCCAAUAUGACUGCGGAUGAAAAGGGAGCCGCUGCUGUUUGAGGGAGAAUGAGUCUAAAGGCCAUCUGUGCUCACAGAACUGCAUCCAUAAUUCUUUGGAUUCUGGACAGCAUCAGUAUCUGCACAUCAUAUUUUACAGGAAAGCAGGAGGAGGGGGUCAGAAGAGGAAAUGUGUCCAGAGACAAGAGAGUUGAGUGGCGAAUGACAAAGCUAGAAAUAGAGGGUAGAAAAAAGCAAGCGGGUUUUCCAACAAAAAAAAGUUUAUUUCUCCUUUUAAAUGCAGCUUGAUUAAAAACCAUCCAGUGGCA